UCCGUAGGUGAACCUGCGGAAGGAUCAUUGAAUUAUUAAAACCACAAUGUGAACCUAUCUGUUCCGUGCCUUUGCUGCCAGCAAGGCAAUUGGGCUCUGCCUGAUUGUGCUUUAGUAAGCUGGUGCGAGUAAAUUUUACUUCGCAUCAGUGGCGCUCUGGCAUGCUUAUACACCAGUGCUAACCACUGUCAAAACCAAAAUCUGAAGCUUUGAUUGCUAUUAACUGGCAAUCUUAACCAAAGACAACUCUCAACAACGGAUAUCUUGGCUCUCGCAACGAUGAAGAACGCAGCGAAAUGCGAUACGUAGUGUGAAUUGCAGAAUUCCGUGAACCAUCGAAUCUUUGAACGCAUAUUGCGCUCGAGCCCUCGGGCAAGAGCAUGUCUGCCUCAGCGUCGGUUUAUACCCUCACCCCUCUCUCCUUCCCGGAGAGUUGGUCAGCUCUCAGUUGACCUCAGGGGUGGAUCUGGCUUUCCCAAUUGGUUUACUCCGAUUGGGUUGGCUGAAGCUUAGAGGCUUAAGCAAGGACCCGAUAUGGGCCUCAACUGGAUAGGUAGCACCGGCUUCUGCCGACUACACGAAGUUGUCGCUUGUGGACUUUGCUAGAGGCCAAGCAGGAAACAUGCUCUGCAUGUCUAAAACCUUCGACCUGAGCUCAGGCAAGGCUCCCCCCGAAACUUAAGCAUAUCAAUAAGCGGAGGA
RNAcentral lists this ribosomal RNA (702 nucleotides) under Tetradesmus obliquus. RNAcentral describes it as "eukaryotic LSU rRNA". The stretch from base 245 to 398 matches the Rfam family "5.8S ribosomal RNA". The record is from RNAcentral. Lineage: Eukaryota; Viridiplantae; Chlorophyta; Chlorophyceae; Sphaeropleales; Scenedesmaceae.